GAUGAACGCUGGCGGCGUGCCUAAUACAUGCAAGUCGAGCGAACGGACGAGAAGCUUGCUUCUCUGAUGUUAGCGGCGGACGGGUGAGUAACACGUGGAUAACCUACCUAUAAGACUGGGAUAACUUCGGGAAACCGGAGCUAAUACCGGAUGAUAUUUUGAACCGCAUGGUUCAAAAGUGAAAGACGGUCUUGCUGUCACUUAUAGAUGGAUCCGCGCUGCAUUAGCUAGUUGGUAAGGUAACGGCUUACCAAGGCAACGAUGCAUAGCCGACCUGAGAGGGUGAUCGGCCACACUGGAACUGAGACACGGUCCAGACUCCUACGGGAGGCAGCAGUAGGGAAUCUUCCGCAAUGGGCGAAAGCCUGACGGAGCAACGCCGCGUGAGUGAUGAAGGUCUCGGAUCGUAAAACUCUGCUAUUAGGGAAGAACAUAUGUGUAAGUAACUGUGCACAUCUUGACGGUACCUAAUCAGAAAGCCACGGCUAACUACGUG
Molecule: ribosomal RNA, 496 nt
Filed under: uncultured bacterium
Lineage: Bacteria
Description: partial 16S ribosomal RNA
Rfam family: Bacterial small subunit ribosomal RNA
Source: RNAcentral